CGGCGCUUCGGGAGCGCGCGGGAGCGGCAAAUCCUGUCAGGCUGGGCGCGGGAGAUCCGCAGCGGCCUCGGACGGCGGGCUUUCCUAUUUUUGGGGAAAUUGCCAAAUGGAACUAUGGACCCUUUGGACAAAAUUAAGAUCCUCCUGAAAAAAUGGGAGACUUCUUUUUUUCAGGAGCACCAGAGGAAGCCCAACAAGGCAGAUGUUCUGGAUGCUCCUGAAAAAAUAAAAAGUAAGCAUGAUUCUUCCCUACAGCGCAUUACAAUACUGGGUCUGGAGGUACACUAGUCGAUGUGAUAGAGCAUCAACUUUGAUCAGUAGAAAGUGAUAGUUAUUUGCAAACAUUUAAAGUGCUAUGUUUUGAUCAUUUUCUUAUCAGAAUGGAAGGAAGACUAGAAAUCUGCAUCUAAAACUUUAAACUAGGUGCUAAUUGCAAUGAUUUUAUAACAAAAAUAAAUGGCUCCUCAUUUUGAUUGCAUUGCUAUAUGUUUUGUCAAAAGUGACUUCUUACUGAAGAAGACUAUCAAGUGAUUAAUUAACAUAUUGUUUAUAACAACAACAACAAUAAUAAUAAUAAAGUUGGAAG
Molecule: long non-coding RNA, 586 nt
Organism: Crotalus tigris (Tiger rattlesnake)
Lineage: Eukaryota; Metazoa; Chordata; Lepidosauria; Squamata; Viperidae
Exons: 3
Source: RefSeq, a predicted model, not a curated record